GUCNAGCGGCAGCGGGAAAGUNGGCUUGCUACUUUUGCCGGCGAGNGGNGGACGGGUGAGUAAUGCCUGGGAAAUUGCCCAGUCGAGGGGGAUAACANNUGGNAACGACUGCUAAUACCGCAUACGCCCUACGGGGGAAAGCAGGGGACCUUCGGGCCUUGCGCGAUUGGAUAUGCCCAGGUGGGAUUAGCUAGUUGGUGAGGUAAUGGCUCACCAAGGCGACGAUCCCUAGCUGGUCUGAGAGGAUGAUCAGCCACACUGGAACUGAGACACGGUCCAGACUCCUACGGGAGGCAGCAGUGGGGAAUAUUGCACAAUGGGGGAAACCCUGAUGCAGCCAUGCCGCGUGUGUGAAGAAGGCCUUCGGGUUGUAAAGCACUUUCAGCGAGGAGGAAAGGUUGAUGCCUAAUACNNAUCAACUGUGACGUUACUCGNNNAAGAAGCACCGGCUAACUCCGUGCCAGCANCCNCNGNNNUACA
This 480-nucleotide ribosomal RNA is filed under the name Aeromonas hydrophila. RNAcentral describes it as "partial 16S ribosomal RNA". It matches the Rfam family "Bacterial small subunit ribosomal RNA", at positions 61 to 527 of the family's 1533-position model. Lineage: Bacteria; Pseudomonadati; Pseudomonadota; Gammaproteobacteria; Aeromonadales; Aeromonadaceae. The record is from RNAcentral.